This is a long non-coding RNA of Pipistrellus kuhlii (Kuhl's pipistrelle), 1165 nucleotides long. RefSeq lists it as uncharacterized. The record is from RefSeq and is a predicted model, not a curated record. The transcript has 2 exons. NCBI's taxonomy places the organism in Eukaryota, Metazoa, Chordata, Mammalia, Chiroptera, Vespertilionidae.
AUGUGUGGUGAUCCUUAUCUGUUUAUUUAUUUAGUCCCAUGGUUUAAAUAGUAAUAUGCUGAUGUUUUCUAAAUUUAUAUCACCAUCUUGAUCCUCUCCUCUGAAUUCUGGACUCUUCCAGUUUUCUGCUCAAUAUAUAAUACCUACUUAUAUAUCUAAGAAGCAUGCAAAAUUAGCUCAUCCAAAAUGGAACUUUGGAUCUUCCCCUGUAAACUUUCUUUUCCUCAUUUUAGUAGUCUAGUAGUUAGCCUUAGUAAAGGCCAAUAUCACUCAUCUAGUAGCACAGGCCAGAAACUCUGCAGUCAUCUUUGAUUUUUCUUUUUCUCUUAAUAGUCCAGUUCACUCUUAGCAACAUUAGUUGGUUCUUUAAUAAGAAUCUGAAAGGGCCAAGAAGCACAGACAUCUCAGUGGCAGUGUGCACAACUAUCCAGGUCUUAAUCUCUAACACUAUUCCCCACUGAAAGAACCAAGCACCCUGGAAAAAUGGAUGAUUCCAGCCUGGGGCAGGGUAGGUGAUUCUGGAACAGCUUGUUAUGCCAAGUUGUAUGGAAGUGCUGAAAAAAAUGAUGGGUACAUGUCACAAGGACAAAGGAGCCACUUACCAACUCUGAGACAAUUUGAGCACCAAAAUAGUUAUGUAUAGUAAUAAUUGUAAAUCAUUGGGGGGGAAAAAUAAGAAUUCAUUAAUUCAUACUGAUAAUAGAAAGACACAUAGGUAAAUGGGUGAGGAGGAUAGGCUCUUUUGGUAGAAUGCAGAGGCCAGCUGAUAAAUGUGGAAGAAUGCUCGCAUUGGAAAGUCCUUUACCAAUAGUAGUUAAGAUUGGGUCAACAAGAAUCAUCAAUAAAUUCUAAAUAUAUGAGGUAAUUUUGAUCAGAAGUAGAAUAUGUGGUCUUAAAAGUGUUCCUUAGAGAUUGAGUGUCAAGGGGAAAAAAGGAACAUUAAUAGUACAGACAAUAUCUUGACCAGCUGAUCAAAAUUAACAGCACCAGGGAGGGACAGAUGGACAUUCUGUGACUCCAGAUGUGUGAUGCUUUGAGAAGAUCACAACAUCCCCUGUGCAUCGCUGAGAAUGCAUAAUCUGAAUCUAAUCAUGAAGAAAUGUGAAAUGAGGCACAUCUUUAAAUGUGAAAUGAGGAACAUAUUUAAAAUAGGAGGAGAGGACUU